CCCUUUGAUACUCUGGGCGGCACGCGCGCUACAAUGGAUAAUACAACGUGUUACUUAACCGAAAGGUUAUGUAAAUCACAAAUGUUACGUCUUGAAUGGGAUAGUUUAUUGCAACUACAGACUUGAACUAGGAAUCCCUUGUAGGUACACUGAAGCAUAGUGUACCGAAUACGUCCCUGCCGUUUGUACACACCGCCCGUCGUUUCUUCCGACUGAUACUCAUUGUGAAUUACGAGGAUGCGUUAGCAAAAUCGUUGUAAAUGCUGGGUAUUGGAGGAAGAAAAAGUCGUAACA
Molecule: ribosomal RNA, 294 nt
Filed under: uncultured eukaryote
Lineage: Eukaryota
Description: partial 18S ribosomal RNA
Rfam family: Eukaryotic small subunit ribosomal RNA
Source: RNAcentral